CCCAGAGGCAGGUGGGGAAUGCUUCAUGUGAUGGUUAAUUUUAUGUGUCAACUUGACUGGGCUAAGGAAUGCCCAGAUAGCUGGUGAAGGGCUUUUUCUGGGUGUGUCUGUGAGGGUGUUUCAGGAAAAGAUGAGCAUUUGAAUUAGAAGACUGAGUGGAGAAGAUAGCCCUCACCAGUGCAGGUGGGCAUCACCCAAUCGGUUGAGGGCCUAAAUUGAACGAACGCAUGGAGGAAGGAUGAAUCUGCUCUCUGCUUCAGCUGGGACAUCCAUCUUCUCCUGCCCUCAGACACCACUGCUCCUAUUCUGGGACCUUCUGACUCAGACCAGGGCUGCCACCGUUGGGCCCCCUGGUUCUCAGACAUUUAGACUGGGACUGGAGCUGCAUCACUGGCUUCCUGGGCCUCCAGCUUGCAGAUGGCAGAUCAUGGGACUUCUCAGCCUCCAUAAUCACAGCCAGACGCCUAUGCAUCCUUGACACCCAAGAAGAUUCCUCUGUCCCCCUAGGGACUUGGCCUCUCUUGGAGGGUCCAGCGUACCUCAGUCCCCUGGGAAUCUUCACCCCAACUAUGAACCAAGCACCCUGUCAUGCCAUGGCAUCAGGCCUAGUGAAAUGGGAGGAAGUCUGCCGCGUUCAUCAUGGAAAUGGCCCCAUUCUUGGAAAGGCCCAAACCGAGCUUGUCUUCAUAACCACCGAAAUCCGAUUAUCUGCACUCCAGAAAGUGCGCGUGUGGAGACCACUUUCUCUAAUUAAUUGGUUCUACUGCCUGUGCUGGGCCGUUCAGGGGGCCUGAGAUGAGAGCUCUCUCUAGGUGGCUGACUGGGGACACGAGCCCGAGGCCUUCCGUCAGCUGAGCUUAGCGAAACAGUGAACCCAGGUCAGCUUGGCCAGAGACGGCCUCCUGCUCUCGGGGCUGAGACCCGUGUUGCCAGCACUCAGGGGAGGGGGCCCUGUCUUCCCCUUUCCCUUACUUCUUCCUAAGACCUGGAAAAAUGUCCCCCCUCCGGAGUUGACAGGCUGAUACUGGAAGCAGUCACUGGCUUAUUGCCAUUGCCUGGCUCGCCCGUACACUUACUCAUGUCUCUUCUGCUCCUCUCUCCUGUGCCCACUCCUUAACCCCAGCCAAGUCUUUUUCAGAGUCUCCCAGAGAGGACCUCACAUGUGCCCUGCUAGCUGCCCAGGCUCAGAGCCCCACCUGCCCUGAUCCUGGGGGCCCCACCACCGGCCAGCUUGGCACCAGCUUAACCAAGUCACCAGCCAUGGCCAAUCCUCCAGGCUGGCCGUGGCAGGCUGAAUAACGGCCACCAGAGCUGUCCAUGUCCUCAUUCUUGGAAACUGUGAAUGUCACCUUCUAUGGCAAAAGGGACUUGGAAGAUGUAAUCAUGUGGCAGAGGGGGACGCUUGCAGAAGAAGAUAAGAAACGAGGCCUGUUCCAUGCCAUCCUGACUCCCGGAAUCGCCUCUACUCGGCCAAACAUUCUUGAUCCGAUUUGAAUAAUGAUCCCAAGCUUCACUGAGCACCUGGUAGAUGCAUGACCGUGUUCAGUCCUCACUGUAACCAGAUGAGGAAAGUACUACUCGUCUUCCUAUUUCACGGAUGAGGAAACAACAGUCUAGCAUCACCUUACGAGGAAGUGGCAGGACCAGGAUGGGGUGCCCUUCUUUCUAAUGCCAAAGCUGCUGAGUUCUUUGUAAUUCACCCCACGCUGUCCUGCCCUGUCCUGUCACUUGCAGUCCCUCGUUCUUGCCCGCCAUCCAUCUUCGAUGCUACCCGAGGCCCCAGGCGACAGCAGAUUCCACGGCCACAUCCCCGCUUGCUCACAGUGGGAGAGGGGACAGGUGCCUGGAGAACCUAGUAGACGAGGGCAGUAGGCUCUGUCACGGAGAACCUGCAGACUCUCUCUAAGGCCGGGCUUGCCAAUCAGGCCCUUCAAACCACCAGCUGCUGGCCAAGUUUGGCCCAGAGACGCAUUUUUCUUUCCGUGGAAUGUUGAUGCUUUCCAUGCCUUUUCUGUUUUGUUUUGUUUUAAUUUGAAUGACUAUAUUCCUUGUUUAUUUUCUCUUUUUAGCAUCCUUGAAAUCAAGACACAUCUUAAAGUGGCUGUCAGAAAGACAUAAGCUGCAACAGGUUAUUGCUGUGCAUGCAGCAUCAAGACUUGCGGAAUGGGUGUUAACAGCUUGCAAAAAUCCUGGAGGCAGCAGUGUAGUAAGCACAGAAGACAAUAUUGUGUGGAAGAACUCAGAUUUUCACGAUGCUUGUGGAGAAGCAACACAGAGUCGUCAGAUUCUAAAUAGGAAGACUUUUGAGGAGCCCGGUAACCAGUCAAUUUUGCAUAUGAUUUCCUUUUUACAUAUGCACAAGCUUGCUAUACGAUAAAAAUUUUGGGCCUAAAUAAGUCUAAAAUAUUCCUUUCUUUAUGUAUAAAAUAAAUUUUGAAGUGGUAAGAAAGCCCUGCGUCAUGGUUUAAUAGGCAAAAUUUUCUUCCCUAAUGGCACAUAAAAUAAUGGUGUAGCUUAUAAUAGAUGCAUCUUAAAUUUGAUGAGAUAUGGCAUUUUCCAAAAAAAAACUCUGGCUCUUGAGCUUCCAACCAAAAAAUCAGAAAGUCUGAUGAUACAAGCCUUUUAUUUCUGCAAGGCAGCCAUUAGCUAGAGAGCUGAGAGGCAAUUGUCCCUUUUGAAUGGAGUAUAUGGUAUUUCAGUUUGCCGCAGUCCCCACCACUCCCUACUGCAUUACACUAGACCCUCUUCAAUCUUUCUGUUUACUCUCUGGCCUCUGUGGGCAUUUGAGUCUGUCACCCUUGAAAAGAUGGGUUCAGUGUUGCCUGGUUGGGAAACUAUGAUCCACAUAUGGCCCCAGCAGCAAAGAUUUAGCCUCUGGUUACUUCUUUUCCUGGACUUGGCAGGAGGGGAGAGAAGGGCAGCUACAGAGCAACAGCACUCAAGAGUGCCCCCUGGAAGUCAUGCUGUCUUGGCAGUAUACCUAGCCUGUUUCAUUGUUAGCUCACUGACUGGCCUCCCAGCCAAAUAACCAGACAGCUACCUCCAGCCACUAAAUGCCUGUAACACUUGUCUUAUGAGUGUCACAGAGAAGUCCAGGCACGGCUAAAACUGAGCAGAAAAUGCAGCCCAGGCUCAGUUGAAAUUCCUGCUCCCCGCGCAUCUAUUCACCCAUUUGCCAAUUUCUGCUGAGUGCUGCUAAUGUCAGGCUGCAGGCAAGGCGAUGGGGUGUGAAAAUGAAAUGCAUUGUCUAUAGAGGAGAAGCAGGCACAGAAAAUGAUAUGGCAUGGAAGUCCGUCACAUGACCAUACCUAGCUGCAAGGGAGCCUGGGAGAUGUGUCUAAGCUGUGUGUCCAGGAGGAACAGGACGCAGGACUUUGUCACUGCCUCAGAAGGUUAGGAUGCGUUUGGAGUAGAACCAGAGUCUGGCGAGGUUUCCUGAGGUUGUAAGAGGCAAGGACAGUAUCUUCUGUACUAGGAUUAUAGACUGGACUUUGGACACGGCGUUGCCAUGACUGCUCCAAGCAUCCGAGAGUCCUGACAAGUGCAGAGGGAUCAGGUGCACGAAGUUGUGACAGAUGUCAGACCCGAGCAGGACGCAUCAAGGGAUGCGGGAGCGCCAAGAAGGAGGAAGUAGAGAGCAGCCCAGGAUGGGAGCCCUGGAAGCGCUUCACGGCGGAGGCAGCAUCUGAGGUGGACCUUGAAGGCAGCGGGAUAGUGCCAUGUGCCGUAGCAGAGUGAUGCUUGGCAUCCUUUAAGCAUCAGGAUCCCCCCCAGCCUCCAGCCCGGGGACUGCAGUUUCCGUCGAGUCACCGAGUGUGACGUGUGGAGGGAGCAAGGGCCUGGCUUCCAGCGGCAGCCUCCACCACUGGUUAGUCCUGAGACCUUGGACACGUCACAUUCCCUCCCCCAACCUGUUUUCUCAUCUAUAAAAUAGAAAUAUUGGUGCUACCUCACACAGCUGGCGAGUGUUACAUGAGACACCUGUUAAAUGGCCAGCACAUAGCUCAUCCUGGUGGCACCAGGGAGAGUAAUGCUCUACAGAAAGAAAGAUGCUGAAGCAUUCACCAUUUUCAAGAACACAGAAGACUAUUUCUCUCCCCAGAAAGUCCUGAAGUGACAGAGCAGCUCUGCUCUGCAAUGUAAUCCAGGGACCGGGGUGCUGGCCCUCUGGGGCGGUUGCCUGCAUGCCUACAGGUGAGACCUCACCUCCUCUGGGUAGCAGCCAAAUGGCAGGGGAGGAGAGUGUGGAGCAGGCAUCCCAAACGUCUUCAGACCUCAAAAUGGAAGCAACAAGGUGGGCGGGGCACAGAGACUUUCUGGGCAGCCACAUCCCGGUUCCGACUCCAUUGCUCUGGAAGAAGAGAAUAAAUUUUGGUGGAUGCUAACACAGACCCUCCACAUAGGGUUUCAAUAAAUAGUUGCCGUCA
Long non-coding RNA from Equus asinus (donkey), 4427 nucleotides. The record is from Ensembl. NCBI's taxonomy places the organism in Eukaryota, Metazoa, Chordata, Mammalia, Perissodactyla, Equidae.